Molecule: non-coding RNA, 74 nt
Organism: Potamilus streckersoni
Lineage: Eukaryota; Metazoa; Mollusca; Bivalvia; Unionida; Unionidae
Source: the annotation of a GenBank genome assembly
GAUCCGGUGGUCUAAGUGGUUAGAGAAUCUGCCUUUGAUGUGGGAGGUCGUGGGUUUGAACCCCAGCUGAGUCA